Limulus polyphemus (Atlantic horseshoe crab) is the source of this 1105-nucleotide long non-coding RNA. RefSeq lists it as uncharacterized. Lineage: Eukaryota; Metazoa; Arthropoda; Merostomata; Xiphosura; Limulidae. The transcript is spliced from 2 exons. The record is from RefSeq and is a predicted model, not a curated record.
GCACAGUCUAUAAUUUAAGUAUACGAUGUCUACAUCAUGUGUCAUUCAAAGUCUCCCAGUAGCAAAACGGUAAAACCUGUUGCCAUAGGAUUAUAGUGUGGACAACACAGCCUCGCUCGCGAAACCUUAACAAAGAGAAGAGAAUCAAUUAGAACUGGGCAGGAAGCGGAUCUGAAGUGAUGUCGACAUACUGUUUCCCUUGAAAACAACGUACACAAGAUUUUGAAAUAGAAGACAAGUUUUCAGUUAAUUUCGCAAGUUGGGUAACCCUGUUAGUAAAUCCAAGAAACGGGGAGCGGGACUAUUUAGUUAGUAUAAAAAGCCCUGUUCUGUUCUGAUAUAGAUAAGUAUUAUACACAAACUGGCCUGCGAAGAAGAAACCUCGUAACGAAUAUCCAGUACGAAAUGAAAUCUUUUAUCACCCUGCUGUUCAUGAUUGUUUUAAUGUUUGUAGCUCCUGGUCACAGCGCUCAUCUUAAAGACUGGGACUCGUGUGAACGACCUGACGAAAUAUACUUGUCCUGUGGAUCUGCCUGUGGUAUUUACACGUGUGCAGACGUGAGGCGUAGAUUUCAUCAAGCACAGGUUUACUGCACACAGCAGUGUAUUAUGGGGUGCUUUUGUAGCAACGGACUUGUUAGAGGUCCUAAUGGUAACUGUAUCCCCAAGAAUGAAUGUCCGGUUUCCACUUGAAAACACCUCCGGCACUGACUGAAUGUUCCGAUAAGCUCCCUGCCAGCCGGAAGGAAGACAAGACAAAGAAUAACAUAUGUAUUAUCAAACUGAAUUUAUUGCAACACUUCCAUCCUGAAAGAUUUAUCCAAACCCUAAGCUGUACUUUUACCACGUGUGUACCAAUAGACAUUGCUUAAUAGCAUAAUUUAAAACCAGUUUCAAAUAGUAUUCGCCACUGGCUGAAAAAGUGCGUGAUUUUUUAUGAACCGUUUUCGUUUCAUGUAUUCUGUAAAAUGGUUCUGCUAUGAUUACAUAGGAUGAAAUAGUUUUUAUUCUAACAUUUUUGCUGUAUCUGUUACCAAUUAGUAUCUCUAUUUGACAUCUUAAGUGAAAGAUUAAUAAAAACUCGGUAGAUUGGUGAAUGUAGAAA